AUGGCCGCCGCCGGCGCCGCAACCACCGUCGACCUCCAUCUACAGCGGUUGGCUCCGAAUCGCAGCACAGCUCACGUAAAGAGUCAGGUCCACCGAAUCUCCACCGUGCCCGCCAUUGAUCUGCAGUUUUCCAUGGUGUGGAUCGAAGCCGCUAGGGUUCAGGUGAGGGGGCGAUUUGGGGAAGAGAGAGCUAGGGUUAGGGUCGAGCGAGAGAAAGAGCACAGAGAGAGAGAGAGAGUGAAGCGAAGAGACAUGGAUCAAUCGUACACUUAUCUUCAUUGGUCCUUGUGCCACAAUACAUUUGUGCAGUACCUUGACGACGCCUUCGCCGGCAACGGCACCUCCAUCCUCCCCACCAACCCCUACAGCCGCGCCGUCGCCCGCUUUUGGGCUUCCUACAUCGACGACAAGGACCUGGCUAGCAUGCGAUGCACACGCACUAACGAACUACCCUACAAGGCGACUAACAAACUAAUCCAUGCAGCUAACAUACUCUCAUGCUCUACGGACUUUGACUGUGGCAGCCGCUUCACACGGCCCUCCGGCAUCUCACACGUAGUCACGUACGCCGUCUCUCACGGCAUGUCCAAUUAUGUACAGUCAGCCGUCCGUAACAUCAGCCACUUGUUCCCUUCAUGCAUCGGCAUUCUCAAGACGGCAAAGCAGCAGGAGAGAGCUGACAAGGUGGAGGAGACCUUGGCGGCGUUCGGGCUCUUAGAGGCCGCCCUGGCGGAGUGCUCCAAAGAAGGGGAGGCUGAGGCACUGUUCUUUGGCGGUGGCUCUCUCAGGCUGCUCGACAUUGCCCUCGGGUGCUAUCUUCCCUGGAUCGAAGCGAUAGGCCACCUUGCCGCCAUGCCGCCAUUCCUCGAUGCGGCUAGGACACCAAAGCUGGCCGCGUGGGCGGAGCGGUUCAGGGCCGCCGAGCCGGUAAGGGCGCUGCUGCCUGCGGCGGACAAGGUGGAGGAGUACAUCUCAACGGUUCUUUAUCCAAAGUGGAACGCCGCACUCACUGCGUCGGCAACUAAUUAG
This 1029-nucleotide ribosomal RNA is filed under the name Triticum aestivum (bread wheat). RNAcentral's name for it is "partial small subunit ribosomal RNA". Lineage: Eukaryota; Viridiplantae; Streptophyta; Magnoliopsida; Poales; Poaceae. The record is from RNAcentral.